AUCUUAAGCUUGCUUCCUGAUGUCAGUCGUGAUUACCCGCUGAACUUAAGCAUAU
Molecule: ribosomal RNA, 55 nt
Filed under: Oscheius tipulae
Lineage: Eukaryota; Metazoa; Nematoda; Chromadorea; Rhabditida; Rhabditidae
Description: partial 28S ribosomal RNA
Source: RNAcentral